Molecule: long non-coding RNA, 331 nt
Filed under: Equus asinus (donkey)
Lineage: Eukaryota; Metazoa; Chordata; Mammalia; Perissodactyla; Equidae
Description: lncRNA (ENSEASG00005025027.1)
Source: RNAcentral
CAUUAAUUCUCUGUGGAACAUAGUUUAAGAAAUGCUGCUUAAAAACGUAGGAAAACCUUACCAAUCAACAAGAGAAUGAUGGAUACUUUCAAUAGAAAAAUAGUCAAAGGACACUUAGAGGCACUGAGGAAAGGCCUUGUGAACACGUAACAAGAAGGUGGCCGUCUGCAAACCAGGAAGAGAGGCCUCACCUGAAACCAAAUCAACCAGAAUCUUCAUGUUAGACUUCUAGCCUCCAGAUCCGUGAGAAGUAAAUGUCUGUUGUCUAAGCCUCACAGUUGAUGAUAUUUUGCUAUGGCAGUCCAAACAGACUAAUGGAAGCAGAUUAAAA